Molecule: non-coding RNA, 71 nt
Organism: Schistosoma mansoni
Lineage: Eukaryota; Metazoa; Platyhelminthes; Trematoda; Strigeidida; Schistosomatidae
Source: Rfam
UGUAUAACUCCGCCUGUAGCCCCUCCAGGGGCUACUGCCGGUCCCAAGCCCGGAUAAAGGAGGAGGAUUGG